Molecule: ribosomal RNA, 465 nt
Filed under: uncultured bacterium
Lineage: Bacteria
Description: partial 16S ribosomal RNA
Rfam family: Bacterial small subunit ribosomal RNA
Source: RNAcentral
CCUACGGGAGGCAGCAGUGGGGAAUAUUGCGCAAUGGGCGAAAGCCUGACGCAGCGACGCCGCGUGAGGGAUGAAGGUCUUCGGAUCGUAAACCUCUGUCAGCAGGGAAGAACGGUCACUGUGCUAAUCAGCAGUGAAUUGACGGUACCUGCAAAGGAAGCACCGGCUAACUCCGGGCCAGCAGCCGCGGUAAUACGGAGGGUGCGAGCGUUAAUCGGAAUUACUGGGCGUAAAGCGGUCGUAGGCGGUAUGUCAAGUCAAGGGGGAAAUCCCCGGGCUCAACGUGGGAACUGCCUUUGAAACUGGCAAACUGGAGUGUGUGAGAGGAUUGUGGAAUGCCAGGUGUAGGAGUGAAAUCCGUAGAUAUCUGGAGGAACAUCAGUGGCGAAGGCGACUAUCUGGCACAUUACUGACGCUGAGGAGCGAAAGCGUGGGUAGCAAACAGGAUUAGAUACCCGGGUAGUC